UCUAAUAUGGCAGAAACAGUGCAAUGGAUUUAAAUCCCAUUCAUAAAGUAUAAUCCUUUUUUUAGAA
Molecule: transfer RNA, 67 nt
Filed under: Allacta robusta
Lineage: Eukaryota; Metazoa; Arthropoda; Insecta; Blattodea; Pseudophyllodromiidae
Description: tRNA-Leu
Source: RNAcentral